GGGUUGUGAGGUUAAGCGACUAAGCGUACACGGUGGAUGCCCUGGCAGUCAGAGGCGAUGAAGGACGUGCUAAUCUGCGAAAAGCGCCGGCGAGGUGAUAUGAACCUUUGACCCGGCGAUGUCCGAAUGGGGAAACCCAGUGUGAUUCGUCACACUAUCGUUAACUGAAUACAUAGGUUAACGAGGCGAACCGGGGGAACUGAAACAUCUAAGUACCCCGAGGAAAAGAAAUCAACCGAGAUUCCCCCAGUAGCGGCGAGCGAACGGGGAGCAGCCCAGAGUCUGAAUCAGCGUGUGUGUUAGUGGAAGCGUCUGGAAAGUCGCACGAUACAGGGUGAUAGUCCCGUACACGAAAGCACACAGGCUGUGAACUCGAAGAGUAGGGCGGGACACGUGGUAUCCUGUCUGAAUAUGGGGGGACCAUCCUCCAAGGCUAAAUACUCCUGACUGACCGAUAGUGAACCAGUACCGUGAGGGAAAGGCGAAAAGAACCCCGGCGAGGGGAGUGAAAAAGAACCUGAAACCGUGUACGUACAAGCAGUGGGAGCACCCUUCGGGGUGUGACUGCGUACCUUUUGUAUAAUGGGUCAGCGACUUAUAUUCUGUAGCAAGGUUAACCGAAUAGGGGAGCCGAAGGGAAACCGAGUCUUAACUGGGCGUUAAGUUGCAGGGUAUAGACCCGAAACCCGGUGAUCUAGCCAUGGGCAGGUUGAAGGUUGGGUAACACUAACUGGAGGACCGAACCGACUAAUGUUGAAAAAUUAGCGGAUGACCUGUGGCUGGGGGUGAAAGGCCAAUCAAACCGGGAGAUAGCUGGUUCUCCCCGAAAGCUAUUUAGGUAGCGCCUCGUGAACUCAUCUUCGGGGGUAGAGCACUGUUUCGGCUAGGGGGUCAUCCCGACUUACCAACCCGAUGCAAACUGCGAAUACCGAAGAAUGUUAUCACGGGAGACACACGGCGGGUGCUAACGUCCGUCGUGAAGAGGGAAACAACCCAGACCGCCAGCUAAGGUCCCAAAGUCAUGGUUAAGUGGGAAACGAUGUGGGAAGGCCCAGACAGCCAGGAUGUUGGCUUAGAAGCAGCCAUCAUUUAAAGAAAGCGUAAUAGCUCACUGGUCGAGUCGGCCUGCGCGGAAGAUGUAACGGGGCUAAACCAUGCACCGAAGCUGCGGCAGCGACGCUUAUGCGUUGUUGGGUAGGGGAGCGUUCUGUAAGCCGUUGAAGGUGUGCUGUGAGGCAUGCUGGAGGUAUCAGAAGUGCGAAUGCUGACAUAAGUAACGAUAAAGCGGGUGAAAAGCCCGCUCGCCGGAAGACCAAGGGUUCCUGUCCAACGUUAAUCGGGGCAGGGUGAGUCGACCCCUAAGGCGAGGCCGAAAGGCGUAGUCGAUGGGAAACAGGUUAAUAUUCCUGUACUUGGUGUUACUGCGAAGGGGGGACGGAGAAGGCUAUGUUAGCCGGGCGACGGUUGUCCCGGUUUAAGCAUGUAGGCGGAGGUUCCAGGUAAAUCCGGUACCUUUUAACGCUGAGGUGUGAUGACGAGGCACUACGGUGCUGAAGUAACAAAUGCCCUGCUUCCAGGAAAAGCCUCUAAGCAUCAGGUAACACGAAAUCGUACCCCAAACCGACACAGGUGGUCAGGUAGAGAAUACCAAGGCGCUUGAGAGAACUCGGGUGAAGGAACUAGGCAAAAUGGUGCCGUAACUUCGGGAGAAGGCACGCUGACAUGUAGGUGAAGCCCCUGCGGGUGGAGCUGAAGUCAGUCGAAGAUACCAGCUGGCUGCAACUGUUUAUUAAAAACACAGCACUGUGCAAACACGAAAGUGGACGUAUACGGUGUGACGCCUGCCCGGUGCCGGAAGGUUAAUUGAUGGGGUUAUCCUUAGGGAGAAGCUCUUGAUCGAAGCCCCGGUAAACGGCGGCCGUAACUAUAACGGUCCUAAGGUAGCGAAAUUCCUUGUCGGGUAAGUUCCGACCUGCACGAAUGGCGUAAUGAUGGCCAGGCUGUCUCCACCCGAGACUCAGUGAAAUUGAACUCGCUGUGAAGAUGCAGUGUACCCGCGGCAAGACGGAAAGACCCCGUGAACCUUUACUAUAGCUUGACACUGAACAUUGAGCCUUGAUGUGUAGGAUAGGUGGGAGGCUUUGAAGCGUGGACGCCAGUCUGCGUGGAGCCAACCUUGAAAUACCACCCUUUAAUGUUUGAUGUUCUAACCUGGCGCCGUGAUCCGGCGUGGGGACAGUGUCUGGUGGGUAGUUUGACUGGGGCGGUCUCCUCCUAAAGAGUAACGGAGGAGCACGAAGGUUGGCUAAUCCUGGUCGGACAUCAGGAGGUUAGUGCAAUGGCAUAAGCCAGCUUGACUGCGAGCGUGACGGCGCGAGCAGGUGCGAAAGCAGGUCAUAGUGAUCCGGUGGUUCUGAAUGGAAGGGCCAUCGCUCAACGGAUAAAAGGUACUCCGGGGAUAACAGGCUGAUACCGCCCAAGAGUUCAUAUCGACGGCGGUGUUUGGCACCUCGAUGUCGGCUCAUCACAUCCUGGGGCUGAAGUAGGUCCCAAGGGUAUGGCUGUUCGCCAUUUAAAGUGGUACGCGAGCUGGGUUUAGAACGUCGUGAGACAGUUCGGUCCCUAUCUGCCGUGGGCGCUGGAGAAUUGAGGGGGGCUGCUCCUAGUACGAGAGGACCGGAGUGGACGCAUCACUGGUGUUCGGGUUGUCAUGCCAAUGGCAUUGCCCGGUAGCUACAUGCGGAAGAGAUAAGUGCUGAAAGCAUCUAAGCACGAAACUUGCCCCGAGAUGAGUUCUCCCUGAGACUUAGAGUCUCCUGAAGGAACGUUGAAGACAACGACGUUGAUAGGCCGGGUGUGUAAGCGCAGCGAUGCGUUGAGCUAACCGGUACUAAUGAACCGUGAGGCUUAACCUUACAACGCCGAAG
Molecule: ribosomal RNA, 2927 nt
Filed under: Pluralibacter gergoviae
Lineage: Bacteria; Pseudomonadati; Pseudomonadota; Gammaproteobacteria; Enterobacterales; Enterobacteriaceae
Description: bacterial LSU rRNA
Rfam family: Bacterial large subunit ribosomal RNA
Source: RNAcentral